GGGAAUAUUGCACAAUGGGCGCAAGCCUGAUGCAGCGACGCCGCGUGCGGGAUGACGGCCUUCGGGUUGUAAACCGCUUUUGAUCGGGAGCAAGCCUUCGGGUGAGUGUACCUUUCGAAUAAGCACCGGCUAACUACGUGCCAGCAGCCGCGGUAAUACGUAGGGUGCAAGCGUUAUCCGGAAUUAUUGGGCGUAAAGGGCUCGUAGGCGGUUCGUCGCGUCCGGUGUGAAAGUCCAUCGCUUAACGGUGGAUCUGCGCCGGGUACGGGCGGGCUGGAGUGCGGUAGGGGAGACUGGAAUUCCCGGUGUAACGGUGGAAUGUGUAGAUAUCGGGAAGAACACCAAUGGCGAAGGCAGGUCUCUGGGCCGUUACUGACGCUGAGGAGCGAAAGCGUGGGGAGCGAACAGG
Molecule: ribosomal RNA, 409 nt
Filed under: uncultured bacterium
Lineage: Bacteria
Description: bacterial SSU rRNA
Rfam family: Bacterial small subunit ribosomal RNA
Source: RNAcentral